RNAcentral lists this long non-coding RNA (754 nucleotides) under Homo sapiens (human). Its description in RNAcentral is "HSALNT0305227". The record is from RNAcentral. Lineage: Eukaryota; Metazoa; Chordata; Mammalia; Primates; Hominidae.
UGGUCUCUAUCUCCUGACCUUGUGAUCCACCCACCUCAGCCUCCCAAAGUGCUGGGAUUGCAGGUGGGAGCCACCGGGUCCAGCCUCUCCGGCGAUUUUCAUACCUGCAUACUCUGAUCACUACUCUGUUAAACAGUCAAGGAGGCUGAGUGCCACGUGCUGACGUCACUAAGAUCAAUACAGCAAACUCUGAAAGAUGGACAGAGAGACAGGAGAUGGUCCUUUAUAAUGCAGUGUGAUCUGUGCUGCAAUAGAGUUUUGGAAGCUAGAAGUUCAAAACGAGGUGUUGGCAGCACCAUGCUCUCUCUGAAGAUGCUAGGAAGAAUCUGCUCCAUGCCUUUCCAUUCGCUCCUGGGGUUUCCUGCAAGCCCUGACAUUCCUUGGCUUGUAGAUACACCACCCCAGUUUCCGCCCCCAUCAUCACAUGGCCUCCUCUCUGUGGGUGCCUCUGCGUUCCCUCUAUUCUUCUUCUAAGGACACCGACACCAGUCAUAGUGGAUUAAGGGUCCACUCCUAACUAAUUACAUCUGCAACCACCCUAUUUCCAAAUAAAGUCACAUUCUAAGAUUCCUAGGGAGAACAUGAAGUUUUGGGGGUGUGUGGAUACUGUUCAACCUGGGACAUGGAGUAAAUAAAUGGCAAGAAAGAUUACAGAUGACUUUAAGCUAAAGAGGGAGAUAGGGUUAAAUGUAGGACUUUUUUUUUUUUCCAGGACGGGAGAGGUUUAAACAUGUUACUACAUUGAAUAAAUGAA